This 300-nucleotide ribosomal RNA is filed under the name uncultured Methanosaeta sp. Its description in RNAcentral is "bacterial SSU rRNA". It matches the Rfam family "Bacterial small subunit ribosomal RNA", at positions 495 to 795 of the family's 1533-position model. Lineage: Archaea; Methanobacteriati; Methanobacteriota; Methanomicrobia; Methanotrichales; Methanotrichaceae. The record is from RNAcentral.
GGCAAAUGCGGAGCGGGAGCGGCGGUAAGAUGGAGUAUGCAAGGGUGAGUCGGAAGCAAUGGGGUUAAAGGGUGCGUAGGCGGCCGUAGAAGGCAGCGGUUGAAGUUGUUGGCUGAACCAAAAAAUGGCAAGUGGUGCUGUAGAGCUGGAAUAUUUGUGAAGGAACUAGAAUAUGUAGUGUAGCGGUGAAAUGCUGAGAUAUUACAUGGAAUACCAAUUGCGAAGGAAGGGUACUAACAAAUGAUUGACGCUGAUGGACGAAAGCGUGGGUAGCGAACAGGAUUAGAUACCCUAGUAGUC